AGACUUCCCUCUAAUUCCCAAAUUUUCCAGCUACCGCCUCUCCUGAGUCGCCGCCCCAUCCAUCCUCCUCGUCGAUCUGCUCUAGCCUCCAAUCCCGCUUGGGCAUCGGGCCCAGCCACCCUCGCGCUAGUGCUAGGCUGCUAACCAUAGCCAGUCCUUCCUCCUCUCGCGUGGCCGCGCCUGCAUCCGGCCACGGGCCACCGCGCACAGCCCUAGCCAGACACCGUGCACGACCCAGCCUAGCCGCAGCGGUGGAGGCGCGCAGCCCCACCCCGCCCCGCACGACCAAAUGAACAGCCGCAACCAGCGAGGCUAGGCCCGCAACAGCAACGCCCUUCGCUCGCCAGCAACGGCAGUGCGUCCGACAUCCUUCGCUCGCCUAGUUGCCCUGCAGAUGGCCAGGACCAGCACCACUGCGGUCUGCAGCAGCGCCCCUAACUGUUGAGGAUAAGAGGAGGUUGACAUGGGAUGACAAGUUGACAACCUGCUAAUUGCAAUGUUCAAUUCACUCUUCUUCAACUACCAGGAGGAUUGCUAGCAGAAUUGUUUGGCCGAAGGUUUGUUUAGGAGGAUUGCAUGGAGGCACCUGGGGCCUUUGUCCUCCACCUCCUCAAGUGCGUGCUUGUCAGCGGUGGUGUGGCUGCGUUCCUCGCCCUUGUGCAUCUUUCUCCUAUUACGACCGCGUCCUGCGUAAUAUGGAUACAAUGGAAGCACUUGCGGCCGAGCCUAGAAUAGAAGAAAAAGAAUCUAAGACCCGUAUAGAAGCAGUUGCUCAAGUAUUGGCUUCAUCAAAAUUUAUUCAAAUUGUUGGUCUUGUAGCUGCAAAAAAGAGAAGCAAUAAUGUUGGUGAUGUGACACGUGUACAAGCAGCAAUGUUGGUCUUGUAGCAUCAAGAUUUGGUUAUUGAUGAAUGAUAUCUAUGAUAAAUAUAUGUGAUGAUCAUUGAUUAUAGUUUAA
RNA transcript from Zea mays, 957 nucleotides. RefSeq lists it as uncharacterized. The transcript has 4 exons. Lineage: Eukaryota; Viridiplantae; Streptophyta; Magnoliopsida; Poales; Poaceae. The record is from RefSeq and is marked validated.